AACGAACGCUGGCGUCAGUCCUAACACAUGCAAUUUGUGCGGACCUUUCGGGCUUAGCUGCGGACGUGUGUGUAACGCUUGUUAAUCUUCCCUUCUCUACCCUAUCCUCCUGGUAAACUGUGGGUUAUCCCGUAUACGCUCUUUGUGGUUAAGACUCAUCGGGGCAGGAUUAGCCGGCGUUGGCUUAGGUCGUUGGUGCGGUAAUGUCCUACCAGCCCGUCGCACCAUAGCUGUUUUGAGAGGAUGAUCAGCCACACUGGGACUGAGACACGGCCCAGGCUCCUACGGGAGGCAGCAGUGAGGAAUCUUAGACAAUGGGGGCAACCCUGAUCGAGCCAUGCCGCGUGAGUGAUGAAGGCCUUAGGGUUGUAAAGCUCUUACAGCUGGGAAGAUAAUGACGGUACCAGCAGAAGAAGCCCCGGCUAACUCCGUG
Molecule: ribosomal RNA, 433 nt
Filed under: uncultured bacterium
Lineage: Bacteria
Description: partial 16S ribosomal RNA
Rfam family: Bacterial small subunit ribosomal RNA
Source: RNAcentral